GACGAACGCUGGCGGCGCGCCUAACACAUGCAAGUCGAACGGAGCUGAGAGAAGCUUGCUUUUCUUAGCUUAGUGGCGAACGGGUGAGUAACGCGUGAGUAACCUGCCCUGGAGUGGGGGACAACAGUUGGAAACGACUGCUAAUACCGCAUAAGCCCACGAUCCGGCAUCGGAUUGAGGGAAAAGGAUUUAUUCGCUUCAGGAUGGACUCGCGUCCAAUUAGCUAGUUGGUGAGGUAACGGCCCACCAAGGCGACGAUUGGUAGCCGGACUGAGAGGUUGAACGGCCACAUUGGGACUGAGACACGGCCCAGACUCCUACGGGAGGCAGCAGUGGGGGAUAUUGCACAAUGGGGGAAACCCUGAUGCAGCGACGCCGCGUGGAGGAAGAAGGUUUUCGGAUUGUAAACUCCUGUCGCUAGGGACGAUAAUGACGGUACCUAACAAGAAAGCACCGGCUAACUACGUG
This 468-nucleotide ribosomal RNA is filed under the name uncultured bacterium. Its description in RNAcentral is "partial 16S ribosomal RNA". It matches the Rfam family "Bacterial small subunit ribosomal RNA", at positions 28 to 507 of the family's 1533-position model. The record is from RNAcentral.